Molecule: ribosomal RNA, 253 nt
Filed under: uncultured bacterium
Lineage: Bacteria
Description: partial 16S ribosomal RNA
Rfam family: Bacterial small subunit ribosomal RNA
Source: RNAcentral
UACGUAGGGUGCGAGCGUUAAUCGGAAUUACUGGGCGUAAAGUGUGCGCAGGCGGCCGCGCAAGUCGAGUGUGAAAGCCCCGGGCUUAACUUGGGAAUUGCGCUCGAAACUACGUGGCUGGAGUGUGGCAGAGGAAGGUGGAAUUCCAGGUGUAGCGGUGAAAUGCGUAGAGAUCUGGAGGAACACCGAUGGCGAAGGCAGCCUUCUGGGCCAACACUGACACUGAGGAGCGAAAGCCAGGGGAGCAAACGGG